RNAcentral lists this ribosomal RNA (497 nucleotides) under uncultured bacterium. Its description in RNAcentral is "partial 16S ribosomal RNA". It matches the Rfam family "Bacterial small subunit ribosomal RNA", at positions 28 to 507 of the family's 1533-position model. The record is from RNAcentral.
GAUGAACGCUGGCGGCGUGCCUAAUACAUGCAAGUCGAGCGAACAGACGAGGAGCUUGCUCCUCUGACGUUAGCGGCGGACGGGUGAGUAACACGUGGAUAACCUACCUAUAAGACUGGGAUAACUUCGGGAAACCGGAGCUAAUACCGGAUAAUAUAUUAAACCGCAUGGUUCAAUAGUGAAAGACGGUUUUGCUGUCACUUAUAGAUGGAUCCGCGCCGCAUUAGCUAGUUGGUAAGGUAACGGCUUACCAAGGCAACGAUGCGUAGCCGACCUGAGAGGGUGAUCGGCAACACUGGAACUGGGACACGGUCCAGACUCCUACGGGAGGCAGCAGUAGGGAAUCUUCCGCAAGGGGCGAAAGCCUGACGGAGCAACGCCGCGUGAGUGAUGAAGGUCUUCGGAUCGUAAAACUCUGUUAUUAGGGAAGAACAAAUGUGUAAGUAACUAUGCACGUCUUGACGGUACCUAAUCAGAAAGCCACGGCUAACUACGUG